This 247-nucleotide ribosomal RNA is filed under the name uncultured bacterium. Its description in RNAcentral is "partial 16S ribosomal RNA". It matches the Rfam family "Bacterial small subunit ribosomal RNA", at positions 1254 to 1500 of the family's 1533-position model. The record is from RNAcentral.
ACCGUGAGGUGGAGCCGAACCCCUAAAAGCCGUCCCAGUUCAGAUCGCAGUCUGCAACUCGACUGCGUGAAGUCGGAAUCGCUAGUAAUCGCGGAUCAGCAUGCCGCGGUGAAUACGUUCCCGGGCCUUGUACACACCGCCCGUCACACCAUGAGAGUCGGGAACACCCGAAGUCCGUAGCCUAACCGCAAGGGGGGCGCGGCCGAAGGUGGGUUCGAUAAUUGGGGUGAAGUCGUAACAAGGUACC